UAACACAUGGGUCAUCUACCCCACGGUGAGGAAUACCGGCGAGAAAUCGCCGACAAGACCGCAUACGCUCGCAAGAGCAAAGUCUCGCCAGAGACGCCUGGGGAUGAGCCUGUGGCCGAUUAGCUGGUUGGUGGGGUAAAAGCUCACCAAGGCGACGAUCGGUAGCUGGUCUGAGAGGACGAUCAGCCACACUGGGAUUGAGAACGGCCCAG
This 212-nucleotide ribosomal RNA is filed under the name uncultured bacterium. RNAcentral's name for it is "partial 16S ribosomal RNA". It matches the Rfam family "Bacterial small subunit ribosomal RNA", at positions 111 to 334 of the family's 1533-position model. The record is from RNAcentral.